Zonotrichia albicollis (white-throated sparrow) is the source of this 5323-nucleotide non-coding RNA. The record is from RefSeq and is a predicted model, not a curated record. Lineage: Eukaryota; Metazoa; Chordata; Aves; Passeriformes; Passerellidae.
GCUCCUGAUGCUGCCAGGCAGUAAGGAAAACAGAUGGCCGUUGCCUUUAAAGCCAGUAACAUUAAUUUCUGUGCCUGUUGUGUAUUUUUGCUCCUUCCCCUCAAUUUUCCCACUCCUGCAGUAGUUCCUGUGGCAGCCAGGCAUUGGCAGACAUGUUGGAAAGCAGCCACGCACGCGGCCACACUGCUAAGGGCAACAUGCGGAAGCCUGGUAUCUGACUAAUGCUCACCAAGUGUUACAAGGCUUGAGCAGAGGGAAAUAUGCAACCUUGUGACCCUGACUCAGAAUAGCCAAACUCCAUCUGCUCUGAAACUUUAAAUGGUAAGAAUGCCUCCAUUUCUUACUGGACAUAUUUGGAGGAUUUUAUCCAGGGAAAGCUCAGAAACUGCAAGUACAGAAUUUCACAAAACCAGAGAAGAAUGAACAGGAACACUUCCAAGUAGGAGGUAAUUGAUGAGCCAUCACAUCAGUGAGGAGGUACUUCCAUGCUGCAUUUCUUGGCUGCUGCAAGAAGCCCAGCUUCUUCUGUUUAGUGCCUAAGAGGUCUUUCUCUCCUGUUAGUUUCCUGGUGAUAACUUAAUUUCAUUUCUUUAUCUGCAUCAAAUUUUCUCAGUAAGAUUCUUCUCCAUAGCAAGAUUCUUCUCCAUAGAUCUCAAGAAAUUGAGAUCCUCUAAAAAUUUAAAGUCAAUGCACUCCUCAGCAGCAAUCUCUUUCCAGUCUGCUGCUCAACUCUUACCCUCUUUUUGUGCUGGCUUCUAAUUUGCCUUAUUCUUUGCUUUUGUUUAUCUAUUCUUUCCAUCCUUCCACUAUGUAUGAAGCAUUAGAAAAAUAGGCACUUCAAGAUAAUGUGCUGCUGUUAGGCAGCUGAACAUUGCAACUCUCAGGGGGCAAGGGAGCAUCUGAAAUGUGGAGUCUUUCCUUCAUCAGGAAAACAAGAGAACACCAAAGAAAACAGAAUUUCUGUAAAAAGUUUGCUAUAUGUUGUCCAGUCUCUGCUUAAAGCUUUCAGAUUUGUGUAACUUUUCUCUAGAACCAAUAUAACUUAUAUGUGAAAAAAGCCCCCCUGCUUCAAACUAGGGAAUUAUUUGGUUUAUGCUACUGUGGUGUCAUUAAUAUAUUUUUAAUCCAUGGUCUUGUCCUGUUGUUUUUACAUGCAUGAAGUAGCACCUCACAACUGCUAUUCAACUAUGUGGCUGCUGUAGCUGGGUUUCCUGUUACACAACUCAACACUCUGGUUUUAAACCAACAAAUGCCACCUGUCUGUACCAACCAGGAGGCAGCCCACAGUCAAGGCAGCUUCUUUUCCCACUUGCUAAUUGGUUCACCCUUUUUUUUCUCAGUCAGAAUGCAUUACUAGAGAUGCCUGUGCUUUAUUCAGGUCAUUCUUGGUGUGAGUUAUUUGCAAGUAUAAGCCUGCAAGCAAAUUCAUUGUAGGUGUAUUUUCCAAGCUGUGAGAAGAAGACUAUAAGCAUUACAUAUAACCUGAGGUGUACCAUGUAAUUUAUAACAUAUAAAUAAAUUAUUAAAUUUGUCUUUCUUUUUUCAUUUGCCAAAUAUCAUAAUUUGAUUUUUAUGGGCAUGUGUUGGUGCCCCCAGCAGGUUCUUAGAAAAAUUAAAUCUGGAAUCCUGUGAACCAAAUGUUGCAGAAAGAAUUAACUUGUUUACUGUAUUGUGAUGAAUGGAAUAGCUGCAUUGAGUGUAUAUGAAGCUGCACAAUUAAUUACUACAUAAAUGACUUGUCAAGUGCAAAAGUGUGUCAUGCAUGAUCUUUACCUACAGCAGACUGUAUUGCAUUGUAGAAGUAAAUAUAAAGCUCUGAAUGCUUUCAUUAUAGGACUUCUGGGAUGCCAACUACAGUCCUGUUCUUAGAGUAGUAAAGAACACACAAGCAAAAAGGAAAUCUCAGACUUAUUAAACACCCUGGACUUUCUUUGCAUGUAUUUAUGAAAUAAUCACUUGCACCAGAAUAAUUUUUGAAUUUGAUCUGAAUUGCACUCAUAGUAGUGUAUCUUUUUUACUGAAAGAAUUUACAGAAAAUAAUUAAAAGACCUGUUUCUUUAGUCACUGCAGAUCACAAGUCAUUAUUUCCUAUAAUGUCUAAUUAAGUUACAUGACUUAAUUAUAUAGGACUAAUUCACAGAGCUUUUUAGGAGUGCUUAUUUUGUGAUAUGUAUAAUGUUUUACAGCUCUCAAUUUUGCAAACAAGGAAUCAGUGUGACAGCUGAGCCAUUGGGAGCUAGAGAAGGAAGGCUGUUGAAAACACCUUUCACCCACAUGACAGAAAUUUUAUUUGCCUGGAAUCGAAGUAACACAUUCCUUUUGCACUUGAAAACCUCAAAUUAUAAGGGGAGGUGUGGUAGUCACAUAAAUAAAAGUGUCUACUACUGAGAGGUUGUUUUGUGAAUUAUCACAAAGGAGUUCUGAGAGAGUGCAGUCAAAUGAUUUUAUGCCCCAUAUCUCAUGAAUAAUACACAUACAGAAAUAAAUAGAAGAAUCUCAGAGUCUUGACAUUGCAUCAGAGUCUUGACAUUGCAUCAGAACUUUGUUUUUUAAGUGUCUAUGCAUCAAUACAAAAAAAUUAGAGAAAAAAUGGAUACAUUUGACUUCUGGAACUGAAGAGAAGUUAGGAGAAAUGGGGAACAGAGCAGGAAGAGUAAAUGUCCCAUAGUGAUCAAGCAAUGUUGAAAUUAGAUUUGGGUUUGAAGGUGUAUCUAUCUGUAUCUAGCAGAGAGAACUGACACUAAGUUGUGAAGAUAAAACUUGGCCUGAACAGUUAAAAUAUGCUCAUCUGGCUCUGCAGGUAAGCAAAACCACUUUUUUUUCAGCCUUUGAUGAAAAUCUAUGAAAUAUAGCAAAGCUGGCAGGGAAGGAUAAAGGAAUAGGAAAGUAGACAUAUAGACAAGAAGAAUUUUCAUCUGCUUUUGUACUUUGGGUGAAAGAAUUACUAAAUAAUUACAAUCUAAUAAUUAAUUCUGUUAGCCCUGGUAAGUAUGUUCCAGAGAAAGUGAGACAAAGAGCUGACAAUGCAGUGUGGACAAGGCACACUGGAGUUCCCAAGCACAUGCUUUGUGUUCUAAAUGAACACUUGUAGGGUGAGGCCCAGAGGCAGCACAGCUGCUUUCAGGCAGUGAGGAGCUGAAAUAACCUGUCAGGCUCUUGUGGGGAUGUGGAGAGCCAGCCCAGCACUCCAUGAAUCCCAUUCCUAUGACUGGGCACAAAGCCCAGUGAUUCAGCCCCUGCUGAUCAGUCUGAUUUGGGUCUGUUAAGAAGCACUGAUGUGUCUGCCCUGUGCUCCCAGAACAAGGAGCAGGCUGUGUGGCUCCAGUAUGGCACCAAGUUCUACUGUCUCCCAAAUAUUGUACUGAAAAGGGUCACAGUGCAGUCUGAGCCCAGCCUGCCUUGUAUCUUAGGGAACUGCAAAGUAUUUCCCUGAUAUUUAUCACCUUGAAAUUCCUUAUGUUGUCCUGGGUUCUGCAUACAAAAAUUUGUUUUAACACAGUAUGCUGAUGUGUUCAUAAUAAAGCAAUGAUAAAUUAACAUUUAUUAAAUGCAUUAAAGCAUUACAUCUUCAGAGAACUAUACUACAUUAUCUACUCUUAAUUACUCUUGACAAUACUCCUGUGACUAAGUUAAAACUUGUUUAUUUAUUUCAAUAGACUUUCCUGUGAACUAACUGGGGAGUUAUCCUGAGUGAGAAGAAUAGGAACAAGAAAAAGUCAGAACACAGAAUGAUGCAGGAAGGAAAGGAAGUCCUUACUUGUGAAACUCUCUUUCUAGGAUACUGUAUGCUGGUUUUUUUACUUAGCACUGAAGAGGAGAAUUGUUAUGUUGCUCUACAGGGCAGUUUUAUUAAUACAUGCAUUGGUUUAAAGCAUGUACAUCAUCACAUCUUUUGCAGCCCUCACAGCAUACAAAUCUAAAAGAACUCAAUGCAGGUUUCUGUGUCUUUAUUCCACUACAGGCUGAUCACUCCUCUGAAGCCCACAGGUGCUGUGUGUGUACAACUGAACCAUUUUGGUUCCUACAACCCUAACCACACUGAAUGUGGUGCUGCUCUGUUCUAAAUAUGGAUCACAGUCCUGUCAGUCUCCGUCUUUCUCCCAAGACUUCUUUGCUUGAGGUAGAAUUCAUGUGCUCAUUCUGGACUUCUACUGUUUAAAUUGGCUUCCAUACACCAUGCUUAAAAUCAGCUUCAGUGAAAUUAUUACUGCAGUUACUUGAAACUCCUUGAAGUUUUUGGUAUAAUUAGUGGUAUAAAGAGUUUUCCACAGUAGCUCUUCUUUGUAAUCUAUUACUGUGUAAUCUUAAUAAACCAAAUAAGUAAUUUUAUUUCAAGCUCCAACAACUAUGAUUUAGUCUUUUGGUUCAUAUUUUUCACAGCAAAUUUGAAGAGAAUUGAAGAAAAUUUAUUUUUUUCUGGAAAACUUAAGCAAGAUCUCAUUGGCUGCAUUUCAGUAAAAGUGAGGGAAUGAGUAUUUGUACUGGCCAGAAAAAGCAAAGAAAUAGGCAAAGUACUAAAUUCAGAAUGAUUUGCCUUAUGUCCCAUAAUGCAAACAGCAGUUUGGACCCUACACAUUUGAACUCUUAUUCUUACAGGCAUGGCAUAACUUGCAGGCUGGCUAAUUUUGUUUUCUAUAGUUUAAGGGGUUCUUAAGAGCAUGGCCCUGUAACUCCUUCCUAAACUGUGGGAACUUAAAAGGCCAACUGAUCUUUCACAGACCUCAGCUGGCAAUUCUCCAUUUCUCAGCAGCAAUCACCUUUGGAAGCAGCUUCCAUUUUAAUUUUUUGGCUGCAUUAUCACAUCUCAGAUUCUAAAAAGUCCCAUUAGCCUUCUGUUCAAUAAGGAGAAAUUAAAUCUCAAAUACAUUUUUUAAUAAUAUUUUUAAUACAAGUGCAUAGCUUAAGAAUGAGCACUGUGAGGCAGCAGGAGGAGGUACAGGGUAUAAACUAAUGAAGUGUGCUUUAGCAUUUUCAUUCUAGUAUAUGUUGUCACAAGGGAGUGGGCACUUGACCCCAUUAACAUAAGGCCAGUACUCUGAAAUUACAUUUCCUAGGCUUGUUAUGGUCUGAAUUCUUAAGAGUCACAGGAGAAUCUGUAUUCUAUUUGACUUGUCGUGUGAGAUAUAUGAUGCUUAUUUGGUACUUUUCAUUUCAAGAGAAAAUGAACUGUCCUGGGGUCAGGGAUUUCUGAUUACAAUAGUCAGGAGCUUGUGACAUUUCUGUGCAGUUUGGAGACUCUCUGGUUGACACAGGCUGAUAUCUGAACUACUCAAAUAUUUAUUCCUUGCUAAGUUUCUCUGAGAAGUUUCACUGGUGUCUUAAU